Molecule: unclassified non-coding RNA, 221 nt
Filed under: uncultured fungus
Lineage: Eukaryota; Fungi
Description: sequence contains ITS1, 5.8S rRNA gene
Source: RNAcentral
UUGAGUUUUGAAGUGGGCUUGAUGCUGGCGCCUUCACGGUGCAUGUGCUCAGCCCCGCUCUCAAAUCCACUUAACACCUGUGCACUUUCAAAGCUGUAGUCCUCCGUAAAGGGAGCCGCAUGUCAGUAAUGGCGUGCUGGGAUUGCACUUUGCCCCUUCAAUCACAAACUAUAUGCAUUGUCUUGUAGAAUGUAAUAGCCUCUUGUAGGCGAAACUUAAUA